Molecule: small nuclear RNA, 302 nt
Filed under: Chaetura pelagica (chimney swift)
Lineage: Eukaryota; Metazoa; Chordata; Aves; Apodiformes; Apodidae
Description: 7SK RNA
Rfam family: 7SK RNA
About the family: 7SK was discovered as an abundant small nuclear RNA in the mid-70s but a possible function has only recently been suggested. Two independent studies have found that 7SK RNA binds the CDK9/cyclin T complex (known as elongation factor P-TEFb).
Source: Rfam by way of RNAcentral
GGAUGUGAGGACAACCUGGUAGAGACCUCUAUCACCCCAUUGAUGACCUGGGUUGAUUUGGCUGAUCUGGCUGGCUAGGUGUGUGUCCCCUUCCUCCCUCAUCACUCUAUUGCAUCCCUCCUAAGGCUGCACGCUCUGUUGCAGAGCACAACCUUCCCCGAUAGAGAGGGACCUGUUCAUCAGCCAAGGCUAUACAGUAGCUGCACUGCCCUGCUAGAACCUCCAGACAAGUUCAGAGAGGGCAGUAAGGCUGCAGCAUCCCUCCACUGCCUUUGUUGAUGCACCAAGCUGCCUCACCCAAA